GUGAUUCCUUCAGCAGCACAUAUACUUAAAUUGGAACAAUAUGGAGAAAAUUAGCAUGACCCCUGUGCAAGGAUGACACAAAAAUUCAUGAAGCAUUUCAUAUAAAG
Small nuclear RNA from Saimiri boliviensis boliviensis (Bolivian squirrel monkey), 107 nucleotides. The record is from RefSeq and is a predicted model, not a curated record. NCBI's taxonomy places the organism in Eukaryota, Metazoa, Chordata, Mammalia, Primates, Cebidae.